GCAGACGCUGGUGCCCGAGCUCGAUACCCGGAGGAGCACUGGCCCGACCUGACCCAAGCCCGUCACCCAGAGGAGCUGCCUGAGCUUCCCCACGUCCGACCUCCGGAGGAGUGGCCUGAACUUCCCGACGCCCGGUAUCCUGAGGAACCCAUGGCCUGGGACCCACCGGACGAUGCCGACGGAAGACAGGCAUGCUCGGCCAGCACCACAAGAAAUUCACCCAGGAGACCAAAGCCAACAUCAGCUUGAAAGAUUCUGCCCAGGCCCUUGCCGCCGAGCUGAAACAGGAACUGGCAUUUUUCCUGUCCACUUUUCAAGCAUCUGCGCCAAUAUCUGUAAAAGUCUGCAGACGUUUCAGGGAGUCCAUCCCAUCCCUGGAUGAAAAGAUGAUCAAUAACAGUUAUAUAAAACAGCUGAGCCGCUCCACUGGUGUGGACGAAAACACCCUCAAGGCCACAUUUCCAGCUGCAAAAAAUGCAAUGCACAGAGGUGCUAUUGUGAGUGUAUUCCCAAGAUAAAUGGAAACUUGGUAUACUGAAUUCACUCCCCUUGAUCCACACAAGUUACAAGCACUACAUUCUCACUUCUCCUUGGGAUUCAUAGAGCACAGCAGCAGUCCCAUCCACUGUGGUGGUUAUUUUAGCUGAUAUCUCACUCCUGAGGGUAAUGGAGGCUGAAAGGGAACAGGUCCUGUACGCAUCUGGCUGCAGACCAGGUCCGCAUGCUGCGAGUCUGUAUGCCGCAAUGGUGGCUGGUGAAGUAACUACUGAGUGGUGUGGGAAAGUGUCCUACCAUGGUGGAAGAAAUAGGGCAGCCCUCCUCAGAAACCUCGGGCAGAGGAUUGCAAACUACCUCAAGGAAGGUUUCUUCGAGAUCUCCAUGAAGGAUUCACGGGACAUCCCAGUGCACAUAAACUGUUCUGCAGGGCCCCCUCUGCCUAACUGUAGAGGGGAAUGAGAAGCAGACAACAACUCUGCCUCUAUUGGUUAUUUCACUACCUCUUCCAACAUGAUUAA
Molecule: long non-coding RNA, 1016 nt
Organism: Mauremys reevesii (Reeves's turtle)
Lineage: Eukaryota; Metazoa; Chordata; Testudines; Geoemydidae
Exons: 4
Source: RefSeq, a predicted model, not a curated record